AUUCCAUGAUGAGGACAUUCCCGAAUGUACUCCUAGAGAAGUUUCCAUGCUUUGAGAAUGGUCUCUUCUGCUUUUUGACGGAAGCUGGAAAUUCUUGCCCGCAGAGC
This is a small nucleolar RNA of Sorghum bicolor (sorghum), 107 nucleotides long. It matches the Rfam family "Plant small nucleolar RNA R71". Rfam says of the family: R71 is a member of the C/D box family of snoRNAs containing the C (UGAUGA) and D (CUGA) box motifs. Multiple nearly identical copies of this snoRNA have been identified in Arabidopsis, and it is thought to function as a 2'-O-ribose methylation guide for 18S ribosomal RNA. The record is from Rfam. NCBI's taxonomy places the organism in Eukaryota, Viridiplantae, Streptophyta, Magnoliopsida, Poales, Poaceae.